RNAcentral lists this long non-coding RNA (657 nucleotides) under Brassica napus (rape). RNAcentral describes it as "long non-coding RNA (BNAP_LNC026498)". Lineage: Eukaryota; Viridiplantae; Streptophyta; Magnoliopsida; Brassicales; Brassicaceae. The record is from RNAcentral.
CACUGACGACGACGAGUUUGAUGAUGAGUUCACUGACGAUGACGACGAGUUUGAUGACGACGAGUUUGGUGAUCUCCCUCCUCCGUCUAAUAAGAUGAAGCCUAACAUGAUGAUGCCUAACGCUCAGCAGAUGAUGAUGAACGCUCAGAAGAACGCUAAUCUUGGCGGUAAAGGUGGUCCCAGCGGUGGAAACGGUGGCGGCGGUGGUGGUAAAGGUGGUCCCGGAGGUGGCGGCGGUGGAAAAGGUGCUCCUGGUGGCGGUGGGAAUCAAAACCAGGGCGGAGGCAAGAACGGUGGUAAAAACGGCGGUGGUGGACAACCACAAGACGGUGGUAAAAACGGCGGUGGUCCAAACGCCGGAAAGAAGGGUAAUGGCGGCGGAGGUGGAGGUGGUGGACCCAUGGCUGGAGGACUGCCAGCUGGUUUCCGUCCCAUGGGAGGCGGAGGACCACAAAACAUGAGCAUGCCAAUGGGAGGUCCAAUGGGUAUGGGUGGUCCGAUGGGUAAUAUUCCGGCGGUUCAAGGAUUACCGGCAACCGGUCCAGGCGGUGGUGUACCACCAGGUUAUUUCCAAGGAGCCGGACCAGACCCUAUGCAAAUGCAGCAGCAACAACAACAGCAACAGUAUUUAGCAGCGGUUAUGAACCAGCAACGUGC